UACGUAGGGGGCAAGCGUUAUCCGGAUUUACUGGGUGUAAAGGGAGCGUAGACGGCUGUGCAAGCCAGAUGUGAACGCCCGGGGCUCAACCCCGGGACUGCAUUUGGAACUGUGUAGCUGGAGUGUCGGAGAGGCAGGCGGAAUUCCUAGUGUAGCGGUGAAAUGCGUAGAUAUUAGGAGGAACACCAGUGGCGAAGGCGGCCUGCUGGACGAUGACUGACGUUGAGGCUCGAAAGCGUGGGGAGCAAACAGG
Molecule: ribosomal RNA, 253 nt
Filed under: uncultured bacterium
Lineage: Bacteria
Description: partial 16S ribosomal RNA
Rfam family: Bacterial small subunit ribosomal RNA
Source: RNAcentral